GCUCUGUUCCACAUACUGAGCACAGGCGUCGUUUGAAAGCGAUGCUUGGUAGAGAACCAACUCCUGUUGAAUUGCAUAGUCGCACUCAUAAGCGAUAGGAGGAUCAACAGUGGAUUGAUGAGAGAUCAAGAAAAGCCUAUGAGGAUUAUACACGGCUUCGAGAGACUCAUGCCGCAUCAGGUGAGGGCUCUUCUGGCGGCUCUGUGGAGUAUUCUGAGUAUCGCAUCUGGUCGCAGGCCGUCGGAGGAAUGCAGCAUGGUAGAGUAUAUGGCUUAGGUGCGCAAGCUCAGGCAUACGAGGGGAUGACAUCCUCUACUGCAUCCAGCUUCGCAUCCAGUUCGCAUGAGUCCUUACAAGCUCAACAAAUAAGUGCCCUUCAAGCUGAGCUAGAACAAGUAAGGAAAUCACAAGCUGAUUGGCAAGCUCAGCUGCAAGCACAGGUUCAAGCUCAGCUGCAAGCACAGGUUCAAACAAGUAUUCAGCAACACAAUCAGUUGUUGGAUGAAAUGCGCAAGAUGAGGGAGCAGCUGAGUGGAAAAGACGUAGCUCCACCUGAGGAGGAGUCCACGGAGUCAGAGUAGUUUAAUUUAGUUUAUAUGAACUUGUUUAUUUCUGUGAACAUGUUUUAUUGAACAGUUUCUUUUAAUGUGAUGUUUUUAGUUGAUUGUUAGUACUGAACUGUUUCUUUUAAUGUUAUAAACUGUUGUGAAACUGUGGUGAAAUUGAUAUGUUGUAAUGUUACAAUUGAAAUGUUGUAGAAUUGAUAUUUGUAUAAGUUUGCAGGUGUGUAAAUUUGAUUGUUGGCUGGGGAGGAAAAUUUUUUUUUGUCAAUGCUACAGGUUUCCGGCUGAUUUUGCGCCGGAAUUUCGCCGGAAAAGACGAUACUAUGAAUUGUAGCGUACGUAUCGACGUCUUUGUUCUGUCGAAAAUUACCGGCGCAUGUACCGGCGCUAUAUGCGCCGGUAUUUACCGGCGUAUACUUUACGUCGCAAGCGAAAUCGGGGGUUUCUACGUCACACUUUGCGGCGUUUUAUCCGCCGGUAAGGUCCGGUGCAUAAUGCGACACUAAUUACCGGCGCAUAUGGCGCCGGAAUUAAGACGUUUUUUAACGUCGACAACUAUCCAUUUUUUCGACGGUAAUGCGUCGGAAACUACGCCGGAGAACUUUCCGGUGCAAAUUAUGCGCCGGAAAGAAAUUAUCGACGCGACUUAAACCGGCGGACAAAUAUACACCGAAACAUGCGACGGAAACUAUAUUUUCCGUCGUAUUUUUAAUUUUGCCGGCGGAUUUUGUCCACCGGUAAUAAGGGGUUUUCCUGUAGUGAGAGUGAGGAGAUAACAUGCCAAUCCAAAAGUAUACUGAAGCACAAGCACAAGUGUGAACAAAACUGGAGCAAAGAUAAAAUGGUAAAAAUGUUAAGUUUUUUUUUGAAGUUAUUUACUUUGGGAGUAGGAAAUCCAAACAUAUGAAAUUUGAAUGCACAAAUUUAAAAACUUAUCCUGAAAAGAAAAAUGGAGAAAAUAAGAAAAAUGCAAUAAAGGAAAAUGAUAAGAAGCAAAAAAUCUCUUAGAUAGACUUAGCAUCUGAAUCAUCAGAAUAUGAGCAAGAUGAUGAGGUAACAAACUUAUGUUAAAUCAUCAAAGGUUCAAUUGUUAAUUCCUAUGUUGCACCGAUACGGAUACGGCGAUACGGAUACGAGGCGAUACGGAUAUGGGACACGCCAAUUCUUAAAAAUACAAGAUACGGAUACGACGUGGAUAUGUCAUUAUAAUAUAUAAAUAAUACAUAAAAAUUAAGAAAGUAAUCAAAAUGUAAUAUUUGAAAU
Long non-coding RNA from Dendrobium catenatum, 1826 nucleotides. RefSeq lists it as uncharacterized. The record is from RefSeq and is a predicted model, not a curated record. The transcript is spliced from 3 exons. Lineage: Eukaryota; Viridiplantae; Streptophyta; Magnoliopsida; Asparagales; Orchidaceae.